This 720-nucleotide long non-coding RNA is filed under the name Homo sapiens (human). RNAcentral describes it as "non-protein coding lnc-GJB5-2:1". Lineage: Eukaryota; Metazoa; Chordata; Mammalia; Primates; Hominidae. The record is from RNAcentral.
AGGCAGAUCACUUGAGGUCAGGAGUUCAAGACCAACCAGACCAACAUGGCAAAACCAUGUGUCUACUAAAAAUACAAAAAUUAGCCAGGCAUGAUGGGGCAUGCCUGUAGUCCCAGCUACCCAGGAGGCUGAGGCAGAAGAAUUGCUUGAAGUCAGAGACUGCAGUGAGCCAAGACCACAUCACUGAACCCCAGCCUGGACAACAGAGUGAGAUUCCAUCUAAAAAAUAAAAUUAAAAAAAAAAAAUCACUACUGCAACUCUCUGACCCCAAGGCUGAGCUUCUGAAGAUUGGGUCCAGUAAAUCUUGCUGAAUGAAUGAAUGAAAAGGUGGAUGUAUGAAUAAAUGAGUGCUGUGGUGUAGAUGAAUGAGUUACAAACUAUAUGACCAUGCAUUUGAACAGAGGCCAUUUAAACUGGGUUUCAAAAGUAGAAUAGGAGUCUGCAGGGAGAAAGCAUUGCUGUGAUGAUGAUUAAAAGCUACAAAAGGUUUAUAAGAUGAAGAAUGUGGCUUUUUUUUUUUUUUUUUUGAGACAGAGUCUCACUCUAUCACCCGGGCUGGAGUGCAGUGGCACGAUCCUGGCUCACUGCAACCUUCACUUCCCGGGUUCAAGUGAUUCUCCUGCCUCAGCCUCCUGAGUAGCUGGGACUAUAGGUGCACGCCACCACACCCAGCUGAUUUUUGUAUUUUUAGUAGAGACGGGGUUUCACCACAUUGGUCA